GAUGAACGCUGACAGAAUGCUUAACACAUGCAAGUCUUUGGCGAAUCUGUGCUUGCACAGGCUAGCCAAGGCGGACGGGUGAGUAACGCGUAAAGAAAUUGCCCUGCAGACAGGGAUAACAGACGGAAACGACUGAUAAUACCUGAUACAGUUGCCGGCACGCAUGUGCCUGGCAAUGAAAAGAGAUGCUGCAGGAGAGCUUUGCGUCCUAUUAGGCUGUUGGUGAGGUGACGGCUCACCAAGGCGAUGAUAGGUAGCCGGCCUGAGAGGGUGAACGGCCACAAGGGGACUGAGAUACGGCCCUUACACCUACGGGAGGCAGCAGUGGGGAAUAUUGGACAAUGGGGGCAACCCUGAUCCAGCAAUUCUGUGUGCACGAAGAAGGUUUUCGGAUUGUAAAGUGCUUUCAGCAGGGAAGAAGAAAGUGACGGUACCUGCAGAAGAAGCGACGGCUAAAUACGUG
This 463-nucleotide ribosomal RNA is filed under the name uncultured bacterium. RNAcentral describes it as "partial 16S ribosomal RNA". It matches the Rfam family "Bacterial small subunit ribosomal RNA", at positions 28 to 507 of the family's 1533-position model. The record is from RNAcentral.